GUAAAAUUAGUUUAAUUAAAAUAGUAAAUUGUGGUUUUACAGAUAAUAUAUGUGUAUAUAUUUUACU
RNAcentral lists this transfer RNA (67 nucleotides) under Stoloteuthis sp. GS-2021. RNAcentral describes it as "tRNA-His". Lineage: Eukaryota; Metazoa; Mollusca; Cephalopoda; Sepiida; Sepiolidae. The record is from RNAcentral.